UCAAAGGCUCUUUUCAGAGCCACUUAAACCUUUUUAGAAGGGCUUGU
Molecule: regulatory RNA element, 47 nt
Organism: Monodelphis domestica (gray short-tailed opossum)
Lineage: Eukaryota; Metazoa; Chordata; Mammalia; Didelphimorphia; Didelphidae
Rfam family: Histone 3' UTR stem-loop
About the family: The mRNAs of metazoan histone genes lack a poly-A tail. 3' end processing occurs at a site between a highly conserved stem-loop (modelled by this family) and a purine rich region around 20 nts downstream (the histone downstream element, or HDE). The stem-loop is bound by a 31 kDa stem-loop binding protein (SLBP - also termed the histone hairpin binding protein, or HBP).
Source: Rfam